Molecule: long non-coding RNA, 606 nt
Filed under: Heterocephalus glaber (naked mole-rat)
Lineage: Eukaryota; Metazoa; Chordata; Mammalia; Rodentia; Bathyergidae
Description: lncRNA (ENSHGLG00100048095.1)
Source: RNAcentral
UAAAGAGGGCAACUGCAAGCUCCUCCUCCGGCCUGAGGCGGGCAAACCCGACUCCUAAGUGAGUGGAUCCUUCGGACAAAGAGGGAGACCCGGGCUGAGUGGUCACCAGGCGGAGGCUCUGGAAUCUGAACUUUACUCCGGGGAGGAGGCGCGGAGUGAGGAGGAGUCGGGGCCAAGCCGCUGGGCCGGCCCAGGGCUCCCCGCCGCCCCGGGGCAUCACCCCCGUGCGAGAAGGUCUAGUUUUCGGCGCUGCUGAUCCGCGGAGCCCAGGAAUCAAGCAGCUUCCUGAGCCCGGCCCUGGACGGACAGUGACCCGUGGGAGGAGAGAAAGGACUCCCGGGGCAGCUAAAAGACGUCCGAACCUCGCGAGCGCACACUCAGCCCUUCGUUCCCUUCAGUUCAUCACGCCCAGCUCAAAUUUGGCCCCGGGACCCCGGGCCACUCACCUGGAGGCGGGCGGCCGAGCGCGGAGCGAGCCCACCUGAGGGGGCGUGGCCGCAGCCUGAAGCCCGGCGCGAAGGAGUUAAGCCGAGGCGGCCCCGCCCCGCCCCAGGCAGGCCGCAGAGCCUGAGCCCCAGCGGUGGAGUCGAGCGGCCGCCGCCCGCC